This 253-nucleotide ribosomal RNA is filed under the name uncultured bacterium. RNAcentral describes it as "partial 16S ribosomal RNA". It matches the Rfam family "Bacterial small subunit ribosomal RNA", at positions 524 to 776 of the family's 1533-position model. The record is from RNAcentral.
GACAGAGGGGGCAAGCGUUGCUCGGAAUCACUGGGCGUAAAGGGCGCGUAGGCGGGAUGGCAAGUCGGUCGUGAAAUCCUUCGGCUCAACCGAAGAACGUCGGCCGAUACUGCCGUUCUUGAGGGAUGCAGAGGAGAUUGGAAUUCCUGGUGUAGCGGUGAAAUGCGCAGAUAUCAGGAGGAACACCGGUGGCGAAGGCGGAUCUCUGGGCCUUACCUGACGCUCAGGUGCGAAAGCUAGGGGAGCGAACAGG